UCCAGAGGGUGCAAGCGUUGUUCGGAAUUACUGGGCGUAAAGGGCGCGUAGGCGGCCGCCUAAGUCAGACGUGAAAUCCCUCGGCUCAACCGGGGAACUGCGUCUGAUACUGGGUGGCUUGAAUUCGGGAGAGGGAUGCGGAAUUCCAGGUGUAGCGGUGAAAUGCGUAGAUAUCUGGAGGAACACCGGUGGCGAAGGCGGCAUCCUGGACCGGUAUUGACGCUGAGGCGCGAAAGCCAGGGGAGCAAACGGG
Molecule: ribosomal RNA, 253 nt
Filed under: uncultured bacterium
Lineage: Bacteria
Description: partial 16S ribosomal RNA
Rfam family: Bacterial small subunit ribosomal RNA
Source: RNAcentral